This is a non-coding RNA of Odocoileus virginianus texanus, 1182 nucleotides long. NCBI's taxonomy places the organism in Eukaryota, Metazoa, Chordata, Mammalia, Artiodactyla, Cervidae. The record is from RefSeq and is a predicted model, not a curated record.
GCGUAGUGUCGCUCGAGCCUCGCCGGCGCCACCGCCCAGGUAGUUACGGGGCGGCGGGGGGCGGCUGGAGAAUAUCUAGAUUUGUGUCGCAAAGGGCGCAAUAUCUCGCCGAAUUAAAAUUCCAGCAGGUGGGCUGACGGGACCACCUGCAGCCAGGAGAACUUGGGGGAACCUCCAAGUACAAACUGCAGAUGUGGCAACAGCUGGUGUCUAAUCCCUGAGGGCACAGUCUCUCCUCCCUCCUUCCCCAGUGAAAGUGAAGACGGUUACCUACCUCACAGAAUCCUUGUGAGGAUGAAUGAACUAAUUCAUGUUUGAAGAAAAAAAUGAUUCUGACACUUGCCGUAAAGGAGGGGAGAGACCACGUGGAAACCUGAAAGACUGCCUGGGUGGGUCCUAAGAUCCUAUCAAGACACAGACUCCCUCCAGAUAUGAAGAACGGAGUUUUCCAGGUGGUUGUGAGGUCUUCUGCAGGGCCGCGGGGCCCACUGGCCUAUUUGAAUGUCCCUUUUGGAGACACAGCUGUCCAGCCCCCUGAGCAGAAUAGCACAUCUGCCAGAGUAACGGAGAGCUGGUAAGCUUCAGAGAGAGGCCAGACAGAUGGCUACGCUGGGCACGAUUGUUUGGGAUUCAGAGCCCAGAGGACUAGCUGGACCAGAGAAACGAGUUUGAGUCCUAACUUCGUCCACUUACUGGUUUUACUUGAGCAUGUCACUUUGCCUCUCUGUGCUUCAGUUUUCUGAUCUGUAAAAUGAGGGAAAUAAUAUCUUCCUUGAAGGAUAGUUAUUUUGAAUUUGUUAAUAAGGAUUUGUUAAUAUAUAAAAACAUUUAGAACAUUGCCUGGCAGACAGCACUCGAUCAGGACUUGCUACUGUUUUGAUAUUCAUUAUGUUAAUUAUCAUUAAUUAUUGUUACUGGCAUAGUACGUAGAAAAGAGGAAUUCCUCAAUAGCUAUUGGAUAUUAUAACAUUGUUAUUAUAUUGUUUCCUUCUAAGAGAUGUCUCCUAUAAACCUAGAUCCUAGAGGUGUUUAAUCCAAGCAUGUAGAUAUGUAAUAAAACUGAUCACCUCGUAAGGAGAAAAGGCAAAACAAACAAUUCCUGGGAUUAGAGCUGACAUUUAUUAAGUACAGUUUUGUGGCAGACAAUGUGAAAAGUGCUCAUAAUAAAUAUUCAUAACAACC